AAAUGUCCGCCCAUGGUUAUUUUGUCAAAAAAGUUCACAUUUUUCAGCUCUCUAGUAGUUUUUACGUCAUCGUCCACGGUUCUUAGACUAUACGGUAGCCUAAAUCGACUAACCAAUGAACAUUAAGGGCGCGAUUACGUCACGAGAGUUUAGUAAUUUGAAUCAUAAUAUGAUUAAUCGGUAUUUUUUGUAUGGAAAAUAGUAAAGAUAGUUAUGAAAUAAAGAUAUUUAGUGGAUUAUAAUACCUAAUUAUGAAAAACUUUUGAUUUUUGUGUGGUCUGGUACCCCUACCACAGUGGGAUAGAAAUCUUGAGCUUCCCUGGCCCCUUUCGCUUGGAGGUGCUGUGCUAGGUGCUAGUAGUCACAAACACGAAACACAUCAACAAGUCACGUUCGUAAGAGUUCGUUGCGCAUGAUUCAUUUUCCGUCAUUUUGUUUAUGAUUUUGUCCUGUUUUGUUUUUUUUUUUUUUUUAAAUAGAGGUAAUUUUAUGACCAGUGAUAUGGCUGAGACAGAUAGACUAUUAUUGAAAUGGAACAACAUACAAUAAUAUGUAGAACAUGUUGUGUUGGUGGUUGUACCUUCUCCACAUCGAUUACGUUUUCCAGAGAUGAAAUGGACAUGUUCUUGGAAGGGUUGAAACUUAUUCAAAUUUUCGUGUUUGUUCUAGGCAUUUUAAAGAAGAUUUUAGGAUACAUGAGAGUUCGAACAAGAGGAAUUACCAAAGCUCAUUUUUACCACCACUAGGUAAGAACCACAUAGGACAAAUAAUUCAAUUUUAAUAGAGCUAAAAGUUAGCCAACGCCUAUCGAGUAAAGUACAUAUCCAACAAUUAAAAUACUUUGGAUCAAUCAAAUUACAGGAAUAUGCAAAAGACCUAUGCAUGAGUUAAAAGAAAUGACCAGAGACAGAGAUCUUUUUAGACAGACAAUAUAUGAUAUCACGUCGACCACUACACUCCCUCCUGGGGGUCAGGAUUGAAGAGAGAGAUUAUCAGGAUGAAAAGGCUACUGAAGAAUCUCAAUUUAUUGACAUGCAUGGUAAUAUGUUAUAAAGUACUUCCACUCUAACUUUUCCCAUGCACGAAAUUAUUGACGAACUACUAUUCAUACAAGGUCUCUUUUUAACUCACAGACACUCUGAGAGUAGUACAUAUCAAUGCCACACAUCAAUGUAUGUUUCGCUUUAUUUUUUGAUAUCAACGCAUGUGAAAAGUCAGAGUGGAAGAACUAUAAAAAUAUACCUUACCUACAUUCUAAAUUGUAAUAAUUUUGCUUUUCAUUCACAGUCAUUUAUUUCGAGCUUCUGUCAUAUGUCCUAUAAUCCAUGUAUAUUAAUAUUUUACAGAGAUUAUAUUAGUAUUAUAUGAGAUUCCUAUGACGGAAGCUUAGUUUCGAGCAUCCAUCAUAGGAAUCUCAUAUAAUAUUAAUAUAAUCUGUGUAUAAUAUUAAUAUACAUGAAUUAUAGGACAUAUGACAGAAGCUCGAAAUAAAUGACUGUGAAUGAAAAGCCCUAUUAUUACAAUUGAGAAUGUAGGUGAGGUAUAUUUUUAUAGUUCUUAUAAUAUUAUAAUAUGUAUUAUGCUCAUAUAAUGAUAUUAUCCACUGUACUGAAAGGUAAAAAUUUUAACCCACAAAUCAACUUUUUUCAGGAAGUAGAGAAAACGUUCCACUUAAGUAAUUUGGUGAGGAAUUAACCUCAUCAAAAAAAACGUAUAUAUCAAUAAUUGAACUAUAAAGUAAUGAAAACAAUUAUUAGGUUAAUUCCUCACCAAAUUACAAACGUCUUUUCUACUUCAUGAAAAAAGUUGAUUUGUGAUAAAUACAGUAAAUCCUCUGUUAACUGAAACAUUGCUUAACCGAAAUGGGUCAAUAGUUACAGUUUCAAUAAUUACGUCAAUAAAAGGUAAAUUUUUAUAUCAAAACAGUAAUAAUUUAAUGUUAAUUUGUCAACAUUGCUUUCAUACAACUAAAAUAUGCAAUUUAUUUAUUUAUUUAUACAGGGUGCCUGCUUAACUUGGAACCAUAUGGGAAACUUUUUUAAUAUCAAUUUUACGAAAAAAAGUCAUUCUUUAUAAAGUGCUCUGCAUAGUCUAAAACCUACGAUGCAAUAAUCAGAAAUCAAAUUGUAUCAAUAAUAUACGAGGUAUGUCAAAAAAUAUUAAUAUCGCUCAAGAGCAAACUACCUUUAUAUUUCAAAAUAUCAAAAAAUUUUAUUAUGGAAAGUUAUUUGUAAUUAAAAACCAUAUUCAAAUAUGCAAUAACAGCCUUCUACAUGAAAAAAAAAUUCUGAGAUUUUCCUAAAUUACUGAUUCCAAACAUCAUUUUUAUUUAUUAGACCUGUAAUAACUCUUUUAUUGAUAAUUUUAGGAAAAAAAGUUAUUCUUCAUAAAAAUCUGUGCAUGGUCUAAACCUCAAGAUGCAACCAUCAGUUAUCCAAGUUUGUUAAUUUUAUACGAGGUGUGUCAAAUAAUAUGACUUUAGAAAGAAUUCUUUCUAUAUUCUUUCUAAAUUCAUAGUAUUUGACACACCUCGUAUAAAACUAACAAACUUGGAAAACUGAUGGUUUUAUCUUGAGGUUUAGACCAUGCAGAGAUUUUUAUGAAGAAUAAGUUUUUUCCUAAAAUUUUUAAUAAAAGAGUUAUUACAUGUCUAAUAAAUAAAAAUGAUGUUCGGAAUCGGUAAUUUAAGAAAAUCUCAGAAUUUUUUUUUCACGUAGAAGGCUGUUAUUGCAUAUUUGAAUAUGGUUUUUAAUUAUAAAUAACUUUUCAUAAUAAAAUUUUUUGAUAUUUUGAAAUAUAAAGGUAGUUUGCUCUUGAGCGAAAUUAAUAUUUUUUGACAUACCUGAUGAUUGCAUCUUUACACUAUGCAGAGCACUUUAUAAAGAAUGACUUUUUUCGUAAAAUUGAUAUUAAAAAAGUUUCCCAUAUGGUUCCAAGUUACGCAGACACCCUGUAUACGGGAUUACCCCCAUUACAAAACAUACAGUAUAAAAUCAAUAUAUGUAAUAUCUACUAAACUAGAGUAAAAAAAAUCUUAAUUACACAUUAAACAAAAACGAAAUAUUAAUAGUUAUCCAUUACACAUAUUACAUCUAUUACAAAAAUCAGUCAAAAUAAACAAAAAAGUACUAUUCUGUAGUACUUAGUAAAGUAUUAUCCUGAAUUUACAUAGUAAAGAAAAUAUUACAAAAUCACCUCAUAGUAUUUUUUAAUGUCAACUGUGACCAAGAAUACUAUGUAAUUUGAUAUAAGAAGAAUACAAAAACACUUAUUUUUAACCGAAAUUCUUGUUAUCUGAAACAGCCCCCCCCUAAUUAUUUCGGUUAACAGAGGUUUUACUCUAUGCAAAUGCAUAUCAAAUGUAUUUAAAAAUAAAACAAAACAUUAAAUAUAACAUUUUUGUUUAAUACAUUUUUUCUUUACAUAAAAACAAAUGAAAUGACACAAAAACUUAUAGAUAUUGUAAUUAAGAAUCUAAAACAUUAUAGUAUGAAUUUAUAUUAAAUUCUUUCAUUAAACAUUAGGAGGUCCUAAAGAACAAAAGCGGGAUUGUCCACAAUUUGAAGAUUUUUUGUACUUUUAUGAUUUUCUGUUUUUCUGUAUACAGUGAGGACGUUUGAGUUGGAAUAAAUUAAUUUUCUCGAGAAUGGCUGACUAUGGAGAUAAAUCCGGAAACCUUUUCGAAUUAUUUCGAUGGCCGAUUUUUAUUUUUAAAUUGUAAUUUUUUAUCAUUUAUCAUAAUCCCCGUGACGUCAUCCGUCUGGGCGUGAUGACGUAAUUGACUAUUUUUUUUUAAAUGAGAAUAGGGGUCGUGUGAUAGUUCAUUCGAAAGGUUCUCCAAUGCUCUAUUCACUAAUAUAAACAUUAAUAUAAUUAUUUAUAAUGUCAAACAAAUUUUUUUUGAAUUAAAUUAAUUGAGAUAAAAAGAAGAAUGUUUACAAUUUAUUUAAUUCGAAAUAGGUACAUUUUACUAUUUCCAAAAACAGGAAAAAAUGUUUAUUUGAUAAAUAAAUAUUGUUUAUCGCUUAAAUUAAAUAUUAAAGUGCCAACCACCUGCCUUUUGGUAGUUUGAACGUUUAAUUUAAGCGAAAAACAAUAUUUAUUUAUCAAAUAAACAUAUUUUCUCUGCUUUAGGGCAACAGUAAAAUGUAUUUUGAAUUAAAUAAAUUGUAAACAUUCUUCAUUUUGUCUCAAUUAAUUUAUGUAAUUAAAAAAAAUUUGGGCACACUGUAUAAACAAUUAUGUUAAUGUUUAUAUUAGUGAAUAUAGAAUUGAUUAGCCUUUCGAAUGAGUUAUCACGCGACCCCUAUUUCCAUUUAAAAAAUUCAAUGAUUACGUUAUUAUGCUCAGAUGGAUGGCGUUAGAAAUUUCCCACCGAGAAAAUUAAUUUAUUCCAACUCAAAUGUCCUCACUGUAUAAGUAAAAUCGAAUUUAUAGCAUAAAAUUUUAUGCUUAUCAUAUUUUUUGCCUACAUUUUUUACAAAAAGUGUGUCUGCAUUUUUUAAAUAAUUUCAAUUUACAGCUAAUAUUUUCAUUUUGUUUUUAGCAAAUAAAAUUGUAUUUUUCAUUUAGUGGACUCGUAUGAAUCUCAAUCAUUAUUUUUAUUGUUUUACAUAUUUCCUUCUUUGCCAACCAUUUUCCAUCAACUCCCAAAUUUAGGUCUCUCACAAUUGCUUCAUCCUUUUUUAUCUUGCGCCAUUCUGAUCCACUGUUUGCCUGCCACUGUUCUUAUGCCAUCUACCCAUCUCUUUUGAGUCUUCCCAUGCUUAUUUCGUCUUGCUUGGUCUCUAUUCUACAAUUCUCUCUAUCCACCUGCUAUCAUUAUAAUUGACUGUGUGACCAGCCCAACAUCAUUUCAUUUUUUAAAUUUCUUCCAUGAUAUCCCUGAUACAGUCUCCAAUUCGUAUGUACAAACUGGUAGUAUGCAUGUGUUAUACAGCCAUGUUUAUAGAAAUGGGGGUGUUGUUUAAAAUACAUUCUAGUUCACCAAAAGCGGCCCAUCCCAGUUGUGUUUUUCUAAUUUCAGCAUCUGGAUUUGGUUUUCACAGUCUGAUGACGUGGCCUGUGUAUACAUAAUGUUCAACAUUCAGUUAGUUCUUGGACAUGUUUCUAAUAAAAAUAUGUUUUCAAAUGGUUUAAUUGUGAUCCGUUGAUGUUUAUGCACCUUUUCCAUUUUAAUUUCUUAAAAAUAUCUUCUAGUUGUAGAGUAAGGGGAAUAGUUUGGGAGAAAUGGUGCCUCCUUAUCUCACUCUCUGUUGUAGAUAGUUACAUAGUUCACUUUUAUUAUGCAUGCUUAUAUAUUUUACUUUUCUCUUUAUUAUUUAAGUUGAUGAUUUUAUACACAUGAUGACAUUAUAAUAUAGAUGAAAAAUAAAGCUCAUAACAUUCACCCUUUCAGUCACCAUGUUCGUUUAAAUGAACAUCAACUUUUAAGCCCCAAUACGAUAGCUAAUUCCCGUUUUUUACAUUGAAUCACCGUAAUCGUCUCUGUACGUUGUACUAGGCUAGGCAUAAUAAUGUUUAUGGGUAAAAUUUUUUGUUUAUAAAUCUUUAAAAACAUCAUAUAUUUCAACCUCAAAGUUUUAAAUGUUUAUCUUUGCAAACAAAAACUCAUAACUGAAAGGGUUAAGGCGCGCGCGCGAACACCCCCCUCCCCCACACACACACACACACACACACACACACACACACACACACACACACACACACACACACACACACACACACACACACACACACACACACACACACACACACACACACACACACACCACACACACACAUUUGGGUAAUUUGCGCCUAACAAAUCGAUGAUACAUCAGUUAAGUGGAGCUGGACUAAAGUGCCUCACACGGUUCAGCAAUAUUCGGUAAAUAUUUCAUAUGAGGGUUCUUUAUCCCUGCACUCUCACAUGGCAAUCAUUUUGACGAUUCUAUAGCGCAUCAGCGUGCUGUGGGAGGGGUGGAGGAAAGCCUGGGGAGCAUUGGAGCUCGAAGGAGUGGUCCCUGAUUUACUCAGGCCAAUCCUUCUCACCCCAAUGAAUUGUAUGCCUGAAUGGCCAUAUGGGCAUGCAAGUCUCUGCAGGUGUGUUUACUUUUUGCUUGCUUGCUCGUGAGUAAUUCCAUUUAUCAUUUAGUAGGUCAGAGUCAAUAGAUGCCUAGGCUCAAAAUGGGACCCAUUUCCAUUGAGUAUAACGUGGAUCCCUGCACAAGGAUAUACGUGAAGACCAGAAUGGUAGCAGUCACGUAUAAAAUAUAUCUAUGAUAUGAUACUUCUGUAAUUCCAUACAAAUUUUGAUUGCUCAAGUAAUUUUAUAAAGUAAUUUACAGAAAUAAAUAACUUUUUAAGAA
Long non-coding RNA from Diabrotica virgifera virgifera (western corn rootworm), 6350 nucleotides. RefSeq lists it as uncharacterized. Lineage: Eukaryota; Metazoa; Arthropoda; Insecta; Coleoptera; Chrysomelidae. The transcript has 3 exons. The record is from RefSeq and is a predicted model, not a curated record.